CAUGCAUGUCUCAGUACAAGCCAAAUUAAGGUGAAACCGCGAAAGGCUCAUUAAAUCAGUUAUGGUUCCUUAGAUCGUACCNACAUUUACUUGGAUAACUGUGGUAAUUCUAGAGCUAAUACAUGCAAACAGAGUCCCGACCAGAGAUGGAAGGGUCGCUUUUAUUGGAACAAAACCAAUCGGUGUCGGGUGUCAAAGCUCGUCAUCGCACAAUCUGGUGAAUCUGAAUAACUUACUGCUGAUCGCACGGUCUUGCACCGGCGACGCAUCUUUCAAAUGUCUGCCUUAUCAACUGUCGAUGGUAGGUUCUGCGCCUACCAUGGUUGUAACGGGUAACGGGGAAUCAGGGUUCGAUUCCGGAGAGGGAGCCUGAGAAACGGCUACCACAUCCAAGGAAGGCAGCAGGCGCGCAAAUUACCCACUCCCGGCACGGGGAGGUAGUGACGAAAAAUAACGAUACGGGACUCAUCCGAGGCCCCGUAAUCGGAAUGAGUACACUCUAAAACCUUUAACGAGGAUCAAUUGGAGGGAAAGUCUGGUGCCAGCAGCCGCGGUAAUUCCAGCUCCAAUAGCGUAUAUUAAAGUUGUUGCGGUUAAAAAGCUCGUAGUCGAAUCUGUGUCCCGCGCCGCCGGUUCAUCGCUCGCGGUGUCUAACUGGCGGUCCGUGGGACGUCCUGCCGGUGGAUUUAGCUCGAAAGGGCGGUCCAACCUUCAAUCCUAUCGCGGUGCUCUUUACUGAGUGUCGAGGUGGGCCGGCACGUUUACUUUGAACAAAUUAGAGUGCUUAACGCAGGCUAAAACUUCGCCUGAAUAUUCUGUGCAUGGAAUAAUGGAAUAGGACCUCGGUUCUAUUUUGUUGGUUUUCGGAACCCCGAGGUAAUGAUAAAUAGGAACGGAUGGGGGCAUUCGUAUUGCGACGUUAGAGGUGAAAUUCUUGGAUCGUCGCAAGACGGACAGAAGCGAAAGCAUUUGCCAAAAACGUUUUCAUUGAUCAAGAACGAAAGUUAGAGGUUCGAAGGCGAUCAGAUACCGCCCUAGUUCUAACCAUAAACGAUGCCAGCUAGCGAUCCGCCGACGUUCCUCCGAUGACUCGGCGGGCAGCUUCCGGGAAACCAAAGCUUUUGGGUUCCGGGGGAAGUAUGGUUGCAAAGCUGAAACUUAAAGGAAUUGACGGAAGGGCACCACCAGGAGUGGAGCCUGCGGCUUAAUUUGACUCAACACGGGAAACCUCACCAGGCCCGGACACCGGAAGGAUUGACAGAUUGAGAGCUCUUUCUUGAUUCGGUGGGUGGUGGUGCAUGGCCGUUCUUAGUUGGUGGAGCGAUUUGUCUGGUUAAUUCCGAUAACGAACGAGACUCUGGCCUGCUAAAUAGGCGUACUUCCGACAUCUCAAAGGCCCGGCGGCCCGGCGUUCGCGUCGCGGUCAGUCGCGGUUUUUACUGUCGGCGUAUAAAUAUUUCUUCUUAGAGGGACAGGCGGCUUCUAGCCGCACGAGAUUGAGCAAUAACAGGUCUGUGAUGCCCUUAGAUGUUCUGGGCCGCACGCGCGCUACACUGAAGGGAUCAGCGUGUCCUCCCUGGCCGAGAGGCCCGGGUAACCCGUUGAACCCCCUUCGUGCUAGGGAUUGGGGCUUGCAAUUGUUCCCCAUGAACGAGGAAUUCCCAGUAAGCGCGAGUCAUAAGCUCGCGUUGAUUACGUCCCUGCCCUUUGUACACACCGCCCGUCGCUACUACCGAUUGAAUGAUUUAGUGAGGUCUUCGGACCGGUACGCGGUGGCGUUCCGACGUCGCCGAUGUUGCUGGGAAGAUGACCAAACUUGAUCAUUUAGAGGAAGUAAAAGUCGUAACAAGGUUUCCGU
Molecule: ribosomal RNA, 1858 nt
Filed under: Microchaetes sp. DDM0784
Lineage: Eukaryota; Metazoa; Arthropoda; Insecta; Coleoptera; Byrrhidae
Description: SSU rRNA
Rfam family: Eukaryotic small subunit ribosomal RNA
Source: RNAcentral